This 502-nucleotide ribosomal RNA is filed under the name uncultured bacterium. RNAcentral describes it as "partial 16S ribosomal RNA". It matches the Rfam family "Bacterial small subunit ribosomal RNA", at positions 30 to 523 of the family's 1533-position model. The record is from RNAcentral.
AUUGAACGCUGGCGGAAUGCUUUACACAUGCAAGUCGAACGGCAGCAUAGGUGCUUGCACCUGAUGGCGAGUGGCGAACGGGUGAGUAAUACAUCGGAACGUGCCCAGUCGUGGGGGAUAACGUAGCGAAAGUUACGCUAAUACCGCAUACGAUCUAAGGAUGAAAGCGGGGGACCGUAAGGCCUCGCGCGAUUGGAGCGGCCGAUGUCAGAUUAGGUAGUUGGUGAGGUAAAGGCUCACCAAGCCGACGAUCUGUAGCUGGUCUGAGAGGACGACCAGCCACACUGGGACUGGUACACGGACCAGACUCCUACGGGAGGCAGCAGUGGGGAAUUUUGGACAAUGGACGCAAGUCUGAUCCAGCCAUGCCGCGUGCAGGACGAAGGCCUUCGGGUUGUAAACUGCUUUUGUACGGAACGAAAAAGCUCUUACUAAUACUAGGAGUCCAUCACGGUACCGUAAGAAUAAGCACCGGCUAACUACGUGCCAGCCGCCGCCGUAA